GUGUCACCCGCUUUCAUGAACAAUGCUGCCUGGAGCCUGUGGUGUUUAGAGGAGUAGAUUUAACCACAGAGGGUUUGUGGGAACUCCUAGUUCAGAACACAAGGGAGGAGAGAACAGAACAUUGAGAUGCAAAGAUUUAUGAGGGAGAAAGACUCAUGUAAGAAAAGGAAAUUAGAAACCAAGCAAGCAGAAUAUUCCAAAGACAGCCACAUACCACCCAUAAUAAUGAAGUUUCCAUGACUCUCUUUGGCUCAGAUAGGUCUGCUUAAUAAUUAAUAUGGCAACUCUCCCUCUCUCUGCAAACAGGUGGCUGUACAGGGCUUGGCAAAUAUUUCCUUAUUGCUCCCUUUACUUUCUCCGAGAGGAAGGUUGGGUGGUCCAGAGGAUUUCCCAGAUGGAGCAGCAGGCUUCCCAUGCCUGCCAUUUGCAUAAGUGGCAAGGGGGGGAAAUGAGGAGACCUUCCAAUGUCUUCUCUACCAAGUGAAUCUCUGACUCUACAAGUUUCCUUCCCAAGACACUGUGGUCCAGGGCUACCUCCCUUACAGCCUACAUGACAACAUGUGCAAAUUAUUUGUCAGCAUCUAAUUGCAAGAACGAUGAGGAAACCAAGGCACAGAGGUUAAACAACGUGUCCAAGCCACGUAGCAAGUAAACAAUUGAGCCAGGCUCCAAAUCCAAACGUUCUGGCGUCAGAGUCCUAUAAAGAUUUUUUUGGCCUAAUGUGAGGAAGUACUUUCUAAGAAUAAGAGUUUACCAAUUAAAAGGGGGUUGCUGUUUUAUGAAGAUAUUUAAACCAAGGCUGAGGGGCCAUUUUCAAGGGAUGCUGACUCGGUAAAAGUUCUUUGGCAGCAAGCAUCAGAAACCAAAUGUAACAACUUUAAGCUAAAAAAUAAAAAGAAGGAAGAGGAAGAAGAGAAGAUGGGGUUGAGGGAGGAGGACAGGAAAAAAAAGGAGAAGAAAGGUGAAGAGGAAAGUGAGGAGGAGGAAGAGGCAAAAAAAGGGGCAUUUGUUGGAAGUGGGGUGCAGAAAAAAUAAACAGCUGAAGAUUCAAAUUCAAGAAGGACCAGAAACAAGGACUGCCCUAGGAUCCAGGGAGCAGGAACUGAUUAACCGUUUCUUUAGGGCACAAUUACCCAAAUAAAUCAGCUCUAAUGGAUUUCUGUCUUUUUGCCAUUCUGCUUAAGAUUCAAGUUCCAGGGAAAGAACAUUCCCUUGGCCUAGCCUUGGGAAAGAUCGACAAUAAAAAUCGCUAAUAUUUAUGGUGUUUAUUCUCUACCAGCCACUGUUCUAAGCACCACAUCUGCAUGUAUUUUCUUCUCACAGACACCCUAUGAGAUAGCUACUAUUAUAGCUAAGAAACUGAGACAGAGAAUGUUAGCUGUCAUUCAACGUGAGGCAGUGUGGUUGCCACCAUGUUUGCUCUAAUAUCAAAAUGGAAAGGAUAGGCUCCCUAAGACAAAAUGUUGAUGUUGAUGAAGAAGGGGAAUGGAUGCUAAGAGAUAAAACCCACAGAUGCUCUCUCAGGGCUUGGUCUUGCUAGAAGGGAAAGAGAGGACUCCCGAGGUGUCUUCUGACCCAGGAAUUCUACAUUCUAGUUUCCAUCCUAACCCUCUUGGUUAUU
RNAcentral lists this long non-coding RNA (1621 nucleotides) under Homo sapiens (human). Its description in RNAcentral is "HSALNT0295439". The record is from RNAcentral. Lineage: Eukaryota; Metazoa; Chordata; Mammalia; Primates; Hominidae.